CCAAACUUGGUCAUUUAGAGGAAGUAAAAGUCGUAACAAGGUUUCCGUAGGUGAACCUGCGGAAGGAUCAUUAAUAAAUUUGGCCGACACUCGUGUCCAAGGCCCCACACUGUGUGCACCGUUAUCGUUUUUUUUGGCAGGGGCUUGGAUCUUUUAUCAGAGUCCAACUUUUUCUCCGACUUGAUCUCCGUCGGAUAUGAAGCAGUACCCUGCCAAGUAACACCUGAAACACGCUUUUUGUCUGAAACAUUCAUUUUUGCGAUUAUAUUACGCAUAAUCCAAAACAUAACUUACAACAACGGAUCUCUUGGCUCUCGCAUCGAUGAAGAACGCAGC
This 336-nucleotide unclassified non-coding RNA is filed under the name uncultured fungus. RNAcentral describes it as "partial contains small subunit ribosomal RNA, internal transcribed spacer 1, and 5.8S ribosomal RNA". The stretch from base 1 to 73 matches the Rfam family "Eukaryotic small subunit ribosomal RNA", at positions 1759 to 1831 of the family's 1831-position model. The record is from RNAcentral. Lineage: Eukaryota; Fungi.